Molecule: ribosomal RNA, 543 nt
Filed under: uncultured bacterium
Lineage: Bacteria
Description: bacterial SSU rRNA
Rfam family: Bacterial small subunit ribosomal RNA
Source: RNAcentral
AGAGUUUGAUCAUGGCUCAGAGUGAACGCUGGCGGCGUGCUUAACACAUGCAAGUCGAACGCGAAAGUCCCGCAAGGGAUGAGUAGAGUGGCAGACGGGUGAGUAAUGCAUAGGUAAUCUACCCUUGAGUGGGGGAUAACUCCGGGAAACCGGUGCUAAUCCCGCAUAACGUCCUGAUGCAUAAGUAUCUGGACCAAAGGGGGGGAUCCUUCGGGACCUCUUGCUUGAGGAUGAGCCUAUGUCCUAUUAGCUAGUUGGUGAGGUAAUGGCCCACCAAGGCAAUGAUGGGUAGCCGAGCUGAGAGGCUGAUCGGCCACACUGGAACUGAAACACGGUCCAGACUCCUACGGGAGGCAGCAGUGGGGAAUUUUGCGCAAUGGGCGAAAGCCUGACGCAGCGACGCCGCGUGAGGGAUGAAGGUUCUCGGAUCGUAAACCUCUGUCAGGAAGGAUUAAAUGUAUGGAUACGAAUAUUAUCCAUACUUGACUUAACUUCCAAAGGAAGCCCCGGCUAACUACGUGCCAGCAGCCGCGGUAAUACGUA